Molecule: small RNA, 27 nt
Filed under: Bombyx mori (domestic silkworm)
Lineage: Eukaryota; Metazoa; Arthropoda; Insecta; Lepidoptera; Bombycidae
Description: ovarian small RNA-12916
Source: RNAcentral
CACAUAAAUAGAGGGAACAAAUGUGUA